This 444-nucleotide ribosomal RNA is filed under the name uncultured bacterium. RNAcentral describes it as "bacterial SSU rRNA". It matches the Rfam family "Bacterial small subunit ribosomal RNA", at positions 355 to 796 of the family's 1533-position model. The record is from RNAcentral.
UCGAGAAUCUUCCACAAUGGGCGCAAGCCUGAUGGAGCGACGCCGCGUGAUUGAUGAAGUCCUUCGGGACGUAAAGAUCUUUUAUGAAGGAGAAAGCCGUGAUCUUCGGAUUGCGGUUGAUGUUACUUCAUGAAUAAGGGGUUGCUAAACUCGUGCCAGCAGCAGCGGUAAUACGAGUACCCCAAGCGUUAUCCGGAAUUACUGGGCGUAAAGGGUGUGUAGGCGGUUUUGUUAGUCUCUUGUCAAAGCUCCCGGCUUAACCGGGAAAAGGCAGGGGAAACGGCAUAACUAGCGGAUGCGAGAGGUUUAUGGAACUCAUGGUGUAGGGGUGAAAUCCGUUGAUAUCAUGGGGAACACCAAAUGCGAAGGCAAUAAACUGGCGCACUCCGGACGCUGAAACACGAAAGCAUGGGUAGCGAACGGGAUUAGAUACCCCCGUAGUCC